AUUCCAGCUCCAAUAGCGUAUAUUAAAGUUGCUGCAGUUAAAAAGCUCGUAGUUGGAUCUGGGGCUUGAGGUCGCUGUCUAUCGUUUCAGCGAUGACGGUGAUGCUCAGCUCUGCUUGCCGGUGACUGUUGCGGUGUUCUUCAUUGAGCGCUGUAGCAGCACGGCACGUUUACUUUGAAAAAAUUAGAGUGCUCAAAGCGUGCUUGUCGCUUGAAUAAUGUUGCAUGGAAUAAUGGAAUAGGACCUCGGUUCUAUUUUGUUGGUUUUCGGAGCUUGAGGUAAUGAUUAAGAGGGACGAACGGGGGCAUUCGUAUUGCGGUGUUAGAGGUGAAAUUCUUGGAUCGCCGCAAGACGGACUACUGCGAAAGCAUUUGCCAAGAACGCUUUCAUUAAUUAAGAUCGAAAGUCAGAGGUUCGAAGACGAUCAGACACCGUCCUAGUUCUGACCAUAAACGAUGCCGACCAGCGAUCCGUAGUGGUUGCUUUAUGGACCCUACGGGCAGCCUCCGGGAAACCAAAGUAUUUGGGUUCCGGGGGAAGUAUGGUUGCAAAGCUGAAACUUAAAGGAAUUGACGGAAGGGCACACCAGGAGUGGAGCCUGCGGCUAAAUUUGACUCAACACGGGAAAACUCACCCGGUCCGGACACCGUAAGGAUUGACAGACUGAUAGCUCUUUCUUGAUUCGGUGGAUGGUGGUGCAUGGCCGUUCUUAGUUGGUGGAGUGAUUUGUCUGGUUAAUUCCGAUAACGAACGAGACUCUAGCCUGCUAAGUAGUGUUGCUAUUGUUAUAUGGUUGACACUUCUUAGAGGGACAAGUGGCAUUUAGCCACGCGAAAUUGAGCAAUAACAGGUCUGUGAUGCCCUUAGAUGUCCGGGGCCGCACGCGCGCUACACUGGAGAAGUCAGCGUGUGUUAUCCAAGUCCGAAAGGACUGGGUAAUCCGUUGAACCUUCUUCGUGCUUGGGACUGUGGCUUGGAACUAUUCCAGAUGAACGAGGAAUUCCUAGUAAUUGCAAGUCAUAAGCUUGCGUUGAUUACGUCCCUGCCCUUUGUACACACCGCCCGUCGCUACUACCGAUUGAAUGGUUUAGCAAGGUCCUCGGAUCGUGGCCGUAGGGGCACGCAAGUGUUUCUGCGGUUUGCGAGAAGACGACCAAACUUGAUCAUUUAGA
This 1172-nucleotide ribosomal RNA is filed under the name metagenome. RNAcentral's name for it is "SSU rRNA". It matches the Rfam family "Eukaryotic small subunit ribosomal RNA", at positions 582 to 1777 of the family's 1831-position model. The record is from RNAcentral.